CAGCCGCCACGGUAAUACAGAGGGUGCGAGCGUUAAUCGGAUUUACUGGGCGUAAAGCGUGCGUAGGCGGCUUUUUAAGUCGGAUGUGAAAUCCCUGAGCUUAACUUAGGAAUUGCAUUAGAUACUGGGAAGCUAGAGUAUGGGAGAGGAUGGUAGAAUUCCAGGUGUAGCGGUGAAAUGCGUAGAGAUCUGGAGGAAUACCGAUGGCGAAGGCAGCCAUCUGGCCUAAUACUGACGCUGAGGUACGAAAGCAUGGGGAGCAAACAGGAUUAGAUACCCCGGUAGUCCCUGUCUCUUAUAA
This 301-nucleotide ribosomal RNA is filed under the name uncultured bacterium. RNAcentral's name for it is "partial 16S ribosomal RNA". It matches the Rfam family "Bacterial small subunit ribosomal RNA", at positions 509 to 809 of the family's 1533-position model. The record is from RNAcentral.